RNAcentral lists this ribosomal RNA (497 nucleotides) under uncultured bacterium. RNAcentral describes it as "partial 16S ribosomal RNA". It matches the Rfam family "Bacterial small subunit ribosomal RNA", at positions 28 to 507 of the family's 1533-position model. The record is from RNAcentral.
GAUGAACGCUGGCGGCGUGCCUAAUACAUGCAAGUCGAGCGAACGGACGAGAAGCUUGCUUCUCUGAUGUUAGCGGCGGACGGGUGAGUAACACGUGGAUAACCUACCUAUAAGACUGGGAUAACUUCGGGAAACCGUAGCUAAUACCGGAUAAUAUUUUGAACCGCAUGGUUCAAAAGUGAAAGACGGUCUUGCUGUCACUUAUAGAUGGAUCCGCGCUGCAUUAGCUAGUUGGUAAGGUAACGGCUUACCAAGGCAACGAUGCUUAGCCGACCUGAGAGGGUGAUCGGCCACACUGGAACUGAGACACGGUCCAGACUCCUACGGGAGGCAGCAGUAGGGAAUCUUCCGCAAUGGGCGAAAGCCUGACGGAGCAACGCCGCGUGAGUGAUGAAGGUCUUCGGAUCGUAAAACUCUGUUAUUAGGGAAGAACAUAUGUGUAAGUAACUGUGCACAUCCUGACGGUACCUAAUCAGAAAGCCACGGCUAACUACGUG